Molecule: long non-coding RNA, 1151 nt
Filed under: Sander lucioperca (pikeperch)
Lineage: Eukaryota; Metazoa; Chordata; Actinopteri; Perciformes; Percidae
Description: lncRNA (ENSSLUG00000010780.1)
Source: RNAcentral
CCUCUCUGUCUAAUUAUAAAAAUCUUCUUAAAACCCACCUCUUUUCUUUGGCUUUUUAACACCAGGUGGAGUGUUGAUCUUAUGUGUAUACUUGCAUAUUUGUAUUGUGUUUGUCAUAUUGUAUUUUAUUUAUUCUACUUAUUUCUGUUUUAUUUUUUUGUGCAGCACUUUGGAAACCUUGUGUUUGUUAAUCGUGCUAUAUACAGUAAAUGAAGUGGAUUGGAUUGGAUUGGACUGGAAGUCAUGCCAGUCUGAAUAUAUGGACUUGACGAACGUGUUUCAUGCACAGUGUCCGACGGAGGCAACAGGGGGCCACGGCACUUUCGAAAGCCCAGGUGACCAUGAAGCUAAAAAAUAUUUGUGGCAAAUACAGACGGGCCAUGGACACAGGACGUCGAAGUGGCCAAGGACGGGUGGUUAUUUUAUGAGCUUUGCCAGGAGAUCUACACGCUCCAUCGAUUCAAGCAUCGAGACAGGUGACCUGGUGGAGUUGUCGUCCCAGCCCUCAACACCGACAGAGGAGAUGCCUGCAUCACCAAAUUCAACAGAAUCCCUCGACUGUCUUCCUCCUGCAUUUUUGAAGCAGUGCCGGGUUUUGCCCAAGUAUGCUCAUCAUUUCAAGCUUAGCUAUCUAGCUAUAUGCUACAGUGCCGUGUCGUUGGAGGCAUUAGGAUGGAUGCAUGUUUAUGCCAAGCUGGACAGCCACAGAGGGGACCGACCAAAGAGGCUGACCCAGCAGAGGAGGAUCUGAAAAUCAAGAGGAGGAUGUUGGAGUUGACUGAGGAGUCAGCAAGAAGUCACGCUGAGAACAUGACACAGAUCAACACAAACAUUGCAAAUAUAACCAGCACCAUACAGGAUGGCUUUUCCCUGAUGAGGGAAUUGCUUAUCAGACCCCAGUUUUUACUCCGCCACAGCAGCAGGGUACAAUCAUCAUAUGAUGAUCACAAUCAUCAUCAACCAUCAUAUAUUCAUUCAACACCACACCCCACGACACAAGCCUUUCGGCAUACAGCUACACCCAAUCGGCGUGUAUACCAACCUGGACAAUGCACACCUACACCAACACGCAGCCCAGAGAAUUAAACGUUUUCAUUCAGAAGAGCACUGCUGCAAGACCAUGUGGAGUGACCUUUAUGUUAUAUUUGCAC